RNAcentral lists this ribosomal RNA (506 nucleotides) under uncultured bacterium. RNAcentral's name for it is "partial 16S ribosomal RNA". It matches the Rfam family "Bacterial small subunit ribosomal RNA", at positions 29 to 523 of the family's 1533-position model. The record is from RNAcentral.
AGUGAACGCUGGCGGUAGGCCUAACACAUGCAAGUCGAACGGCAGCACAGAGGAGCUUGCUCCUUGGGUGGCGAGUGGCGGACGGGUGAGGAAUACAUCGGAAUCUACUCUGUCGUGGGGGAUAACGUCGGGAAACUUACGCUAAUACCGCAUACGACCUACGGGUGAAAGCAGGGGAUCUUCGGACCUUGCGCGAGUGAAUGAGCCGAUGUCGGAUUAGCUAGUUGGCGGGGUAAAGGCCCACCAAGGCAACGAUCCGUAGCUGGUCUGAGAGGAGGAUCAGGCACACUGGAACGGAGCCGCGGUCCGGACUCCUACGGGAGGCAGCAGUGGAGAAUAUUGGACAAUGGGAGCGAGCCUGAUCCAGCCAUACCGAGUGGGUGAAGAAGGCCUUCGGGUUGUAAAGCCAUUUUGUUGGGAAAGAAAUCCAUCUGGUUAAUACCCGGGUGGGAUGACGGUACACAAAGAAUAAGCACCGGCUAACUUCGUGCCAGCAGCCGCGGUAA